UGGGGAAUAUUGGACAAUGGGCGCAAGCCUGAUCCAGCCAUGCCGCGUGAGUGAUGAAGGCCCUAGGGUUGUAAAGCUCUUUCACCGGUGAAGAUAAUGACGGUAACCGGAGAAGAAGCCCCGGCUAACUUCGUGCCAGCAGCCGCGGUAAUACGAAGGGGGCUAGCGUUGUUCGGAUUUACUGGGCGUAAAGCGCACGUAGGCGGACUAUUAAGUCAGGGGUGAAAUCCCGGGGCUCAACCCCGGAACUGCCUUUGAUACUGGUAGUCUUGAGUGCGAGAGAGGUGAGUGGAAUUCCGAGUGUAGAGUUGAAAUUCGUAGAUAUUCGGAGGAACACCAGUGGCGAAGGCGGCUCACUGGCUCGAUACUGACGCUGAGGUGCGAAAGCGUGGGGAGCAAACAGG
Molecule: ribosomal RNA, 404 nt
Filed under: Actinomycetes bacterium
Lineage: Bacteria; Bacillati; Actinomycetota; Actinomycetes
Description: Actinobacteria bacterium partial 16S ribosomal RNA
Rfam family: Bacterial small subunit ribosomal RNA
Source: RNAcentral